AAUUAAUCGGCCAUUCCGAUUAAUCGAUCAACCUCUAUUCUGAACUAUGCAAGUCCUGUCUUCUGAUCAUUUCCUCAAUGUUUUUAUAUGUCAGAAUCAUGUAAUUACACAUGAAUAGAAGUUACUUUUGGUUAUGUCUAUUUUGGCAGAAAUCAAUAUUUUGCCAUUUCAUUUUAAGAGGUUUACGAAAUUUCCAGGCAGAGUUAGUUUAUCACCCAUUGACUCCUGGUUUUGGGUGUGGGGGAUGGCUGGUGGGUGAGCUGCUUGAGAGUGCUGUGAGAUGGUGAAGUCACCAGCAGGGGACGUCCUAACACAGGCUUCCUUAUGUAUUGCUACAGAUAGAGAAUUGUCCAAUGGAGGUCCGUGGACAACUCUGCUCGGGGGGCUUCAGGGAUGUCUGGAUUUCACCCACAUUAACAUCAACCAGCACAUGCGUCUGUAUCUGCUGUUCAGACUCCUCCAUUGAGAACUGCAUUGAACUUGUCAAUGGUAAAUAUUACAUUUUUUGUCACAUUUUUCCUCAACUACUAUGGCUCUGCUACCAUGAUAUAACACAUUCAGAUAAUCCUUUUGACAGGUGACUUGGUUUCCUCCUCUGUUCAUUGUGACCAUUGUUUUUUUUCUCUCUUUUGCAGUUCAAUAAGAAAAGAUUUUGGGGGCUCUCAUGUGUCUGCAGCAAGACCAGCCCUAAAUUUGGCAAGGAAGCCUGCUCAGGUGAAUCAAAUACAGGCAAAACUGUGAAAAGCUUGGUUUGUGUUGAUCUGUUUUUAUAACAGUAUACCUUAAAUAAUCUUAAGGUAAUUAUACACUACUGUUCAAAGGUUUGGGGUCACUUAGAAAUGUCCUUGUUUUCCAUGAAAACAUACUUGAAAUGAAUUACAAAAUGAAUAGGAAAUAUAUUUAAGACAUUGAUAAGGUUAUACAUUUUUUUUUUUUUUUACAUUUAAAUAAUAAUUAUGUCCUUCAAACUUUGCUUUCGUCAAAGAAUCCUCAAUUUGCAGCAAUUACAGCCUUGCAGACCUUUGGCAUUCUAGUUGUUCAUUUGUUGAGGUAAUCUGAAGAGAUUUCAUCCCAUGCUUCCUGAAGCACCUCAUAUAAGUUGGUUGGCUUGAUGGGCACUUCUUACUGCUGCUUCCACAACAGCUCAAUAGGGUUGAGAUCCAGUGACUGUGCUGGCCACUCCAUCAUAGACAGAAUACCAGCUGAGUACUUCUUCCCUAAAUAGUUAUUGCGUAGUUUGGAGCUGUGCUUUGGGUCAUUGUCCUGUUGUAGGAGGAAAUUGGCUCCAAUUAAGUGCCGCCCACAGGCUAUGGCAUAGCGUUGCAAAAUGGAGUGAUAGCCUUCCUUCUUCAAGAUGCCUUUUACCCUGUACAAAUCUCCCACUUUACCACCACCAAAGCAACCUCAGACCAUCACAUUGCCUCUACCAUGCUUGACAGAUGGCGUCAAGCACUCCUCCAGCAAGCACUCCUCUUACGAAUGUUCUUCUUUGUGAUCCGAACAUUCGUCUGUCCAUAACACAUUUUUCCAAUCUUCCUCUGUCCAGUGUCUGUGUUCUUUUGCCCAUCUUAAUUUUUUAUUUUUAUUGGUCAGUCUGAGAGUCGCCUCUUCACUGUUGACAUUGAGACUGGUGUUUUGCGGGUACUAUUUAAUGAAGCUGCCAGUUGAGGACUUGUGAGGCAUCUGUUUCUCAAACUAGACAAUUUAAUGUACUUGUCCUCUUGCUCAGUUGUGCACCGGGGCCUCCCACUCCUCUUUCUAUUCUGGUUAGAGCCAGUUUGCGCUGUUCUGUGAAGGGAGUAGUACACAGCGUUAUAUGAGAACUUCAGUUUCUUGGCAAUUUCUCGCAUGGAAUAGCCUUCAUUUCUCAGAAAAAGAAUAGACUGACGAGUUUCAGAAGAAAGUUCUUUGUUUCUGGCCAUUUGAGCCUGUAAUCGAACCCACAAAUGCUGAUUCUUCAGAUACUCAACUAGUCUAAAGAAGGCCAGUUUUAUUGCUUCUUUAAUUGACACAACAGUUUUCAACUGUGCUAACAUGAUUGCAAAAGGGUUUUCUAAUGAUCAAUUAGCCUUUUAAAAUUAUAAACAUGGAUUAGUUAACACAACGUGUCAUUGGAAUACAACCCGGGCUGGCAAAACCCUGGAUCGUUGUUAUUCUAACUUCCGCAACGCAUAUAAAGCCCUCCCCCGCCCUCCUUUCGGAAAAUCUGACCGACUCCAUUUUGUUGCUCCCAGCCUAUAGACAGAAACUAAAACAGGAAGCGUCCGUGCUCAGGUCUGUUCAAAGCUGGUCCGACCAAUCGGAUUCGACGCUUCAAGAUUGCU
This is a long non-coding RNA of Oncorhynchus kisutch (coho salmon), 2324 nucleotides long. The record is from Ensembl. Lineage: Eukaryota; Metazoa; Chordata; Actinopteri; Salmoniformes; Salmonidae.